AAUCGAGAGAGGGAGGGGUAAGGACUGCCGGCCGCGGCGGCAGGGGUGGAAAAAGAAGCAGAGGGAGGAGUUGCUGCUGCCACCACAGCCUCCGCCACAGCCGCCGCGGCUACUGUGACUUGCCGGAGCGUGUGAGCGUGGAGGUUGCUUGCGUGGAUUUAUCGCUGCCUCUGUCCGAGUAGCUCUGGAGGUUUAUCCACAGGACAGAAAACAAAACAAAACAAAACCAAAAAAACAGGUAAGUCCUACAUCGGCUUCCCGUCAUCCCCUUCUACUGGAGGGGGUGUUCUGUGCUGUCAGUCUGUACCACC
This 311-nucleotide long non-coding RNA is filed under the name Marmota monax (woodchuck). Lineage: Eukaryota; Metazoa; Chordata; Mammalia; Rodentia; Sciuridae. The record is from RNAcentral.